GUUGUAUCUUUUCAUUAUAAAAAGUUAUUCUUUUGUGUAAAAACUGAACUCUAUUAAUUUUAGGAGUUGUAUAUUUUCAUUAGGAAUCUCAAUUAAUAUUAAAAAUUGUAUCUUUUCAUUAAUUUUUUUAAAUAUAUUAGUUUUAAAAGUUGUAUCUUCUUAUUAUAAAAAAGUUCUAUCUUUUCGUAAAAAAGUAGUUAAAAUAUUUCGAUUUGUGUCUUUUUACAAUUAUUAGUAUUUUCUAUAUAUAAUAGCAAAACAUAAUUCUGUACUCGGUGACAUCUUAGGAAAAAAAGUUUCAAUUCAACGGUCAGAUUUUUCUGUUUUUAUGAUUUUGUUUUUGUCAUCUUUCUGUUUUUAUGAUAUAAAGGAUAAAAUAUAUGUUUGCUAUGAAUGUUUAUUUAAACAAGAAAACAAUAUUUAGCAACUCUUCUCUGAAUGAGCUCGGACAGCACAUUCCAUUUAAAGUAACAAACAUAUUUUUUCAUAGUUUUUAAAAAAGCGAAGAGUUACAAUCCGACGGUCAUAAUUGUCUUAUUUCUUAUCCGAGGGUUUUAGUUUUUUUUUGCUUAAAUUUCUUAUGAGUUAUGUCUUCUCGCAACUCCUCUCUAAAGAGUUUUUAUCUCAAACAAUACAUAUUUUCUUCUAGAGUAGUAAACGAUGUACCUUUUCGGGAUCCUAUAUAAUGAAAUUUUUAAACCAGAUUUUAAAAAUAUAUAUAUAUACUUUGUUUCGUUAUCUCUUCUCAUACUGUUGUUAAAUAGCAGAAUUAGCAAAUAAUUUUUAAAUAAAAAAAAAAGAAAAUAAAUAAAUUAUAAGGCGCCACGUUAAAACGUCUUUCUUAUUCUCCCUUCCGUUGAAGUAACAGCCCCAUUAUUGACUUGUUGAUAAUUGGAAUCAAUACAGUGAGUUUUAUCACUGGUUUUAGAUGGCUUUUGAGAAGUAGAGAAAGGAAUAAAAAGAGAAUUAUAGAUCAUCUCCCCCUUCAUCGAUGUGGUCAUCGACCGGCAAAUGUUUUCUUCUUCUUGUUAGUUUGUAAUUGAGUUUUUGGUUGUAUGUUAUUAAGUAAUAAUAUUGUAUUAAAAGGUGUGUGUGUAAGAGUCGUGACUUUAGAUUGGAUACUUGUGUCUCUUAGAGCAACAUUAUCGGGGUAUGAUAGAGGAAGUCGUUAGGCUUUAUAUGAUUUUAUUUAAAUAAAAAUUGUAUAAUUUCGCUGGGACGGACGCGGUUUGUCGUUGGCUAACAUAUUUUUUUUUUGUCCUUAGGUGAUAGGUGUCGGCAAGGGAAUGGUGGAAGCGUUUUGGUUUGAGAAAUGAUUCACGUGUUGCCCUUUGGGCCUUGUCUCUUUGAGAAGAGAGAGAGAGAGAGUUGAAGAUCGAUGGCGGAAGGCGCGAUGAUCCCCAGCAACUGAAGAAGGGAAGCCAUAGCUUCAGGCAGAGGCUACUUCUCUGGACCCUUUCUUCGACGCCUAUCAUCAGGCAGAGGCUGAAUCCUAGCCUCCAACAUCACGAGAUGUCUCUCCUCCGCCUCUUCGAGACUGUCUCCGAUGACUGCGUCACACUUGCCCUCAUCCAGAUUAAAUUGACUGAUGUUACUGAUCCCAUGGUCAAUGAGAAGGUUGCUGAUCGGGUAGGAGAGGAUUUAGAAGGAGUUACCCACAAAGUUUACUUUGAUAUUCAGAUCAAUGGUUCACCUGAAUGAGUUACCCACAAAGUUUACUUUGUCCCCUCUUCUUCAUUGGGCGUAGAGGGAAAGAUUGUGGUUGAGCUGAUUUUGCUGGGCAAAUCUGGAUGCAGGGGCAAACAUUAUCUGAUUUUUUCUUAAUUGUUCUGAUCUUUUUUUUUUGGUUUCGGGUAUGUGGAUUUGAUUUUGUGAUCGUUGUUCUGAUUGUGCAAGGAGGAGUCUCUUGCACGUAGAACAUAGAAACUACCUUUUUAUAUAGUUUGUAAUCAAAGAUUUACUCUACUUAUUUCUGCUUCACGUUUCAUUGUUGA
Long non-coding RNA from Brassica napus (rape), 1994 nucleotides. RefSeq lists it as uncharacterized. The record is from RefSeq and is a predicted model, not a curated record. The transcript is spliced from 4 exons. Lineage: Eukaryota; Viridiplantae; Streptophyta; Magnoliopsida; Brassicales; Brassicaceae.